RNAcentral lists this small nucleolar RNA (138 nucleotides) under Ornithorhynchus anatinus (platypus). The record is from RNAcentral. Lineage: Eukaryota; Metazoa; Chordata; Mammalia; Monotremata; Ornithorhynchidae.
ACCUUCUCAGGGUCACACCUGAGGAGUUUCCAGUACUCUACCAGUCUUGACUACUGGAGGGAGAGUCAAUCAGAGGCAUACCCAUUCCAUUCCUAGCUUGGCCAGUAGCUAGCAAGUGGAAGGCAACCUGCUACAAAU